Molecule: ribosomal RNA, 866 nt
Filed under: uncultured Bacillus sp.
Lineage: Bacteria; Bacillati; Bacillota; Bacilli; Caryophanales; Bacillaceae
Description: bacterial SSU rRNA
Rfam family: Bacterial small subunit ribosomal RNA
Source: RNAcentral
UCAUGGCUCAGGACGAACGCUGGCGGCGUGCUAAUACAUGCAAGUCGAGCGGACAGAUGGGAGCUUGCUCCUGAUGUUAGCGGCGGACGGGUGAGUAACACGUGGGUAACCUGCCUGUAAGACUGGGAUAACUCCGGGAAACCGGGGCUAAUACCGGAUGGUUGUUUGAACCGCAUGGUUCAAACAUAAAAGGUGGCUUCGGCUACCACUUACAGAUGGACCCGCGGCGCAUUAGCUAGUUGGUGAGGUAACGGCUCACCAAGGCAACGAUGCGUAGCCGACCUGAGAGGGUGAUCGGCCACACUGGGACUGAGACACGGCCCAGACUCCUACGGGAGGCAGCAGUAGGGAAUCUUCCGCAAUGGACGAAAGUCUGACGGAGCAACGCCGCGUGAGUGAUGAAGGUUUUCGGAUCGUAAAGCUCUGUUGUUAGGGAAGAACAAGUACCGUUCGAAUAGGGCGGUACCUUGACGGUACCUAACCAGAAAGCCACGGCUAACUACGUGCCAGCAGCCGCGGUAAUACGUAGGUGGCAAGCGUUGUCCGGAAUUAUUGGGCGUAAAGGGCUCGCAGGCGGUUUCUUAAGUCUGAUGUGAAAGCCCCCGGCUCAACCGGGGAGGGUCAUUGGAAACUGGGGAACUUGAGUGCAGAAGAGGAGAGUGGAAUUCCACGUGUAGCGGUGAAAUGCGUAGAGAUGUGGAGGAACACCAGUGGCGAAGGCGACUCUCUGGUCUGUAACUGACGCUGAGGAGCGAAAGCGUGGGGAGCGAACAGGAUUAGAUACCCUGGUAGUCCACGCCGUAAACGAUGAUUUCUAAGUGUUAGGGGGUUUCCGCCCCUUAGUGCUGCAGCUAACGCAUUAAGCA